UACGGAGGGAGCUAGCGUUAUUCGGAAUUACUGGGCGUAAAGCGUACGUAGGCGGCUUUGCAAGUUAGAGGUGAAAGCCUGGAGCUCAACUCCAGAACUGCCUUUAAAACUGCAUCGCUUGAAUCCAGGAGAGGUGAGUGGAAUUCCGAGUGUAGAGGUGAAAUUCGUAGAUAUUCGGAAGAACACCAGUGGCGAAGGCGACUCACUGGCCCGAUACUGACGCUGAGGCGCGAAAGCGUGGGGAGCAAACAGG
RNAcentral lists this ribosomal RNA (253 nucleotides) under uncultured bacterium. RNAcentral describes it as "partial 16S ribosomal RNA". It matches the Rfam family "Bacterial small subunit ribosomal RNA", at positions 524 to 776 of the family's 1533-position model. The record is from RNAcentral.